This 490-nucleotide ribosomal RNA is filed under the name uncultured bacterium. RNAcentral describes it as "partial 16S ribosomal RNA". It matches the Rfam family "Bacterial small subunit ribosomal RNA", at positions 30 to 507 of the family's 1533-position model. The record is from RNAcentral.
AUUGAACGCUGGCGGCAGGCCUAACACAUGCAAGUCGAACGGUAACAGGAAGCAGCUUGCUGCUUUGCUGACGAGUGGCGGACGGGUGUGUAAUGUCUGGGAAACUGCCCGAUGGAGGGGGAUAACUACUGGAAACGGUAGCUAAUACCGCAUAACGUCGCAAGACCAAAGAGGGGGACCUUAGGGCCUCUUGCCAUCGGCUGUGCCCAGAUGGGAUUAGCUAGUAGGUGGGGUAACGGCUCACCUAGGCGACGAUCCCUAGCUGGUCUGAGAGGAUGACCAGCCACACUGGAACUGAGACACGGUCCAGACUCCUACGGGAGGCAGCAGUAGGGAAUAUUGCACAAUGGGCGCAAGCCUGAUGCAGCCAUGCCGCGUGUAUGAAGAAGGCCUUCGGGUUGUAAAAUACUUUCAGCGGGGGGGAAGAGAGUAAAGUUAAUACCUUUGCUCAUUGACGUUACCCGCAGAAGAAGCACCGGCUAACUCCGUG